This 491-nucleotide ribosomal RNA is filed under the name uncultured bacterium. Its description in RNAcentral is "partial 16S ribosomal RNA". It matches the Rfam family "Bacterial small subunit ribosomal RNA", at positions 29 to 506 of the family's 1533-position model. The record is from RNAcentral.
AGUGAACGCUGGCGGUAGGCCUAACACAUGCAAGUCGAACGGCAGCACAGUAAGAGCUUGCUCUUACGGGUGGCGAGUGGCGGACGGGUGAGGAAUACAUCGGAAUCUACUUUUUCGUGGGGGAUAACGUAGGGAAACUUACGCUAAUACCGCAUACGACCUACGGGUGAAAGCAGGGGAUCUUCGGACCUUGCGCGAUUGAAUGAGCCGAUGUCGGAUUAGCUAGUUGGCGGGGUAAAGGCCCACCAAGGCGACGAUCCGUAGCUGGUCUGAGAGGAUGAUCAGUCACACUGGAACUGAGACACGGUCCAGACUCCUACGGGAGGCAGCAGUGGGGAAUAUUGGACAAUGGGCGCAAGCCUGAUCCAGCCAUACCGCGUGGGUGAAGAAGGCCUUCGGGUUGUAAAGCCCUUUUGUUGGGAAAGAAAAGCAGCAGGUUAAUACCCCGCUGUUCUGACGGUACCCAAAGAAUAAGCACCGGCUAACUUCGU